AUUACAAAAAUCUUAAAACAUCCCAGAGAAUCCAAUGAUUUCUGAGGAGUUUAACUUAUUACAACAAUCUUAUCAUAUCUCAGAGAAUCCAAUGAUUGCUGAGGGGAUUCAAUUAUUACAACAAUCUUAUUAUAUCUCAGAGAAUCCAAUGAUUCUUGAGGAGUUUAGGGUAUUACAGCAAUCUCAUUAUAUUCUCAGAAUCCAGAUUCCUGAAGUUUGUAAUUAUUAUAACAAUCUUAUCAUAUCUCAGAGAAUCCAAUGAUUUCUGAGGAGUUUAACUUAUUACAACAAUCUUAUCAUGUCUCAGAGAAUCCAAUGAUUCCUGAGGAGUUUAACAUAUUACAACAAUCUUAUCAUAUCUCAGAGAAUCCAAUGAUUCCUGAGGGGUUUCAAUUAUUACAACAAUCUUAUCAUAUCUCAGAGAAUCCAAUGAUUCCUGAUGAGUUUAACGUAUUACAACAAUCUUAUCAUGUCUCAGAGAAUCCAAUGAUUCCUGAGGAGUUUAACGUAUUACAACAAUCUUAUCAAGUCUCAGAGAAUCAAUAGUUCCUGAGGGAUUUAAAUGAUACAACAAUUUCAUCAUGUCUCAGAGAAUCCAAUGAUUCCUGAGGGUUUUCAAAUAUUACAACAACCUUAUCAUAUCUCAGAGAAUCCAAUGAUUCCUGAGGAGUUUAACGUAUUACAACAAUCUUAUCAUGUCUCAGAGAAUCCAAUGAUUCCUGAGGAGUUUCACGUAUUACAACAAUCUUAUCAUAUCUCAGAGAAUCCAAUGAUUCCUGAGGGGUUGUAAUUAUUAUAACAACCUUAUGAUAUCUCAGA
Sarcophilus harrisii (Tasmanian devil) is the source of this 819-nucleotide long non-coding RNA. The record is from Ensembl. NCBI's taxonomy places the organism in Eukaryota, Metazoa, Chordata, Mammalia, Dasyuromorphia, Dasyuridae.